GAUGAACGCUGGCGGCGUGCCUAAUACAUGCAAGUCGAGCGAACGGACGAGAAGCUUGCUUCUCUGAUGUUAGCGGCGGACGGGUGAGUAACACGUGGAUAACCUACCUAUAAGACUGGGAUAACUUCGGGAAACCGGAGCUAAUACCGGAUAAUAUUUUGAACCGCAUGGUUCAAAAGUGAAAGACGGUCUUGCUGUCACUUAUAGAUGGAUCCGCGCUGCAUUAGCUAGUUGGUAAGGUAACGGCUUACCAAGGCAACGAUGCAUAGCCGACCUGAGAGGGUGAUCGGCCACACUGGAACGUAGACACGGUCCAGACUCCUACGGGAGGCAGCAGUAGGGAAUCGUCCGCAAUGGGCGAAAGCCUGACGGAGCAACGCCGCGUGAGUGAUGAAGGUCUUCGGAUCGUAAAACUCUGUUAUUAGGGAAGAACAUAUGUGUAAGUAACUGUGCACAUCUUGACGGUACCUAAUCAGAAAGCCACGGCUAACUACGUG
This 497-nucleotide ribosomal RNA is filed under the name uncultured bacterium. RNAcentral describes it as "partial 16S ribosomal RNA". It matches the Rfam family "Bacterial small subunit ribosomal RNA", at positions 28 to 507 of the family's 1533-position model. The record is from RNAcentral.